Non-coding RNA from Lentinula raphanica, 99 nucleotides. The record is from the annotation of a GenBank genome assembly. NCBI's taxonomy places the organism in Eukaryota, Fungi, Basidiomycota, Agaricomycetes, Agaricales, Omphalotaceae.
GGGGGUAUAGCUCAGCUGGGAGAGCAGCAGACUGAAGCUAAAUGUCACAAACAACGUUUGGUGUUCUGAAGGUCCCGCGUUCGAUCCGCGGUACCCCCA